UACGGAGGGUGCAAACGUUGCUCGGAAUCAUUGGGCGUAAAGCGCACGUAGGCGGUUCAGUAUGUCGGGUGUGAAAGCCCUCGGCUUAACCGAGGAAGUGCAUUCGAAACUGCUGGACUUGAAUACUGGAGAGGAUCGCGGAAUUCCCGGUGUAGAGGUGAAAUUCGUAGAUAUCGGGAGGAACACCAGUGGCGAAGGCGGCGAUCUGGACAGAUAUUGACGCUGAGGUGCGAAAGCGUGGGGAGCGAACAGG
Molecule: ribosomal RNA, 253 nt
Filed under: uncultured bacterium
Lineage: Bacteria
Description: partial 16S ribosomal RNA
Rfam family: Bacterial small subunit ribosomal RNA
Source: RNAcentral